This 406-nucleotide ribosomal RNA is filed under the name uncultured bacterium. RNAcentral describes it as "partial 16S ribosomal RNA". It matches the Rfam family "Bacterial small subunit ribosomal RNA", at positions 30 to 526 of the family's 1533-position model. The record is from RNAcentral.
AUUGAACGCUGGCGGCAGGCCUAACACAUGCAAGUCGAACGAGUGGCGGACGGGUGAGUAAUGUCUGGGAAACUGCCUGUUGGAGGGGGAUAACUACUGGAAACGGUAGCUAAUACCGCAUACCUCCGAAGUGGCCCAGAUGGGAUUAGCUAGUAGGUGGGGUAAAGGCUAACAUAGGCGACGAUCCCGAGCUGGUCUGAGAGGAUGACCAGCCAAACUGGAACUGAGACACGGUCCAGACUCCGACGGGAGGCAGCGGGGGGGAAUAGUGCACAAGGGGCGCAAGCCUGAUGCAGCCAUGCCGCGUGUAUGAAUAAGGCCUUCGGGUUGUAAAGUACUUUCAGCGGGGAUGCGUUACCCGCAGAAGAAGCACCGGCUAACUCCGUGCCAGCAGCCGCGGUAAUUC